Molecule: ribosomal RNA, 468 nt
Filed under: uncultured bacterium
Lineage: Bacteria
Description: partial 16S ribosomal RNA
Rfam family: Bacterial small subunit ribosomal RNA
Source: RNAcentral
GACGAACGCUGGCGGCGUGCUUAACACAUGCAAGUCGAACGGAAAGGCCAUGCUUUUGUGGGGUGCUCGAGUGGCGAACGGGUGAGUAACACGUGAGUAACCUGCCCUUGCCUUUGGGAUAACUUCAGGAAACUGGGGCUAAUACCGGCUAGGAGCUCAUGCUGCAUGGUGGGGGUUGGAAAGUUUCGGCGGGUGGGGAUGGACUCGCGGCUUGUCAGCUUGUAGGUGGGGUAGUGGCUAACCAAGGCUUUGACGGGUAGCCGGCCUGGGAGGGUGACCGGCCACAUUGGGACUGGGGUACGGCCCAGACGCCUACGGGGGGCAGCAGUGGGAAAUAUUGCACAAUGGGCGGAAGCCGGAUGCAGCAACGCCGCGUGCGGGAUGACGGCCGUCGGGUUGUAAACCGCUUGCGCCUGUGACGAAGCGUGAGUGACGGUAAUGGGUAAGGAAGCACCGGCUAACUACGUG